RNAcentral lists this ribosomal RNA (387 nucleotides) under uncultured bacterium. Its description in RNAcentral is "bacterial SSU rRNA". It matches the Rfam family "Bacterial small subunit ribosomal RNA", at positions 527 to 916 of the family's 1533-position model. The record is from RNAcentral.
GUAGGGGGCAAGCGUUAUCCGGAAUUACUGGGUGUAAAGGGAGCGUAGGCGGCACGCCAAGCCAGAUGUGAAAGCCCGAGGCUUAACCUCGGGAUUGCAUUUGGAACUGGCGAGCUAGAGUACAGGAGAGGAAAGCGGAAUUCCUAGUGUAGCGGUGAAAUGCGUAGAUAUUAGGAAGAACACCAGUGGCGAAGGCGGCUUUCUGGACUGAAACUGACGCUGAGGCUCGAAAGCGUGGGGAGCAAACAGGAUUAGAUACCCUGGUAGUCCACGCCGUAAACGAUGAGUGCUAGGUGUCGGGGAGGAAUCCUCGGUGCCGCAGCUAACGCAAUAAGCACUCCACCUGGGGAGUACGACCGCAAGGUUGAAACUCAAAGGAAUUGACGG